GGGGUGUGCUCCGAGCAGGGGGCCUGUUUAUAACACACCGGGCAGGAAUCUGGGGUCAUUGUGGUGAGCGGCACAGAACUUGUGGCCUCCCCAGAGGAAUUCCCUCCAUGA
Small nucleolar RNA from Otolemur garnettii (small-eared galago), 111 nucleotides. NCBI's taxonomy places the organism in Eukaryota, Metazoa, Chordata, Mammalia, Primates, Galagidae. The record is from Ensembl.